AUACGUAGGUGGCAAGCGUUGUCCGGAUUUACUGGGUGUAAAGGGUGCGUAGGCGGGACUGCAAGUCAGGCGUGAGAUACCGAGGCUCAACCUCGGGGCUGCGUUUGAAACUGUGGUUCUUGAGUGAAGUAGAGGCAGGCGGAAUUCCUAGUGUAGCGGUGAAAUGCGUAGAUAUUAGGAGGAACGCCAGUGGCGAAGGCGGCCUGCUGGGCUUUAACUGACGCUGAUGCACGAAAGCAUGGGGAGC
Molecule: ribosomal RNA, 247 nt
Filed under: uncultured bacterium
Lineage: Bacteria
Description: partial 16S ribosomal RNA
Rfam family: Bacterial small subunit ribosomal RNA
Source: RNAcentral